AAAAACAAAAAACAAAAACGUAUCAUUCAUUCAUUCUUAUGCUUAAACUCUUCUUAUUCUCAAACUCUUUUUCACGCAAAACCGUCUCUCACUGCAAACUCAAUCUUCACUAUAAACCCUUCUCUCACUGCAAAUUCUUCUUCACAGUAAAUCUCUUCGCCAAACACUUCUCACGAACCCAGAAAUCUCUUCGUCGAGUCCUUCACAUAAAACCCAGAAUUCGUACUGUUGUCACGAACCCUUCCUUGCAAAUUUGAAACGCUAAAUUUCUGGAAGGUGCUACUCAUUCAUAUGUAUGUAAUUUGUAAACCCUAACUUUUUUUGUUUUGUUGUGUUAUUUCAAUUUCUGUUUCUGCUGCUAUUUUUGUUUUAUUAUUAUUUUCCUGCAAUGCUAUCUGGUAUAUGCUCGUCUUUGUUUUGUGCUCUGCUUGUGCUAUUUUAUUUUGGGUCAUGGUAAUUAAUAUUUUUAGGUAAUACCGUAAUAGUUAAGAAAAUUAAUUCUUUUUUAUGAUAUAUAGUUUUUUAAGUAAUUCUUCAAAAACACUAGUUAACAAUUUCCUUUUGUUAUUUGUACAUCUUGUAGUUGGAUUACUGAUAUUCAAUAUAUUUUGCCUUUUAAGAAAAUAGUAAAUUAAAUAUUGGUUAACAAAAGGAAAAAUCGAAGCGCUUAUAUUCUGGACAUUGUGCAAAUUUAUUGUGUUGACACAAUUUGUUUCAGAAACAUUCAUCAUGUACAAAAUCCACAAAAAAAAAAAAAAAAAUCUAAGUCUUGGUAUACUCUAUUCAUCAUUAAUUAUAAACAAAAGGCGAUUUUUUAGAUUCGAUCUAUAUUAUUAUAGAUCAGAUAUACAUCCGCAAAGCAUUCUGCAAAGCAUAGUUCACAUAGAAGAUUUUUUGCCCCAACAGUCAACACUAUCCAUCCGCAAAGCAUUCUGCUAUUGAUAUCACUGUUAUCAUCAGAGUUUGCCUAUAAUUCAACUGUGAUGUUUGGUAGUUGGCUCUUUUAGUUUGUAUAUGUGGUUAGUUCACAAGAAAGGGAUUGGGGCCUUUAGUUUACCCUCCUCACAUUUCACCAAAAUAAGAAGUCUGUUAUCACAUUGUGAAUUAUAAGUUUCUAAGUUUCCAUUAAUUACUAUCAUUAGGAAGAUGUGCUACUAAAUUUUUUGCCUUGGUUGUAUUGGCCAUAUUUAGAGUGAAUGUCUUUUUAAAAUUACGUAAUUGUCUUUAUUUCAGCCACUUGCAAUAUAUCAUGCUCCUCAACUUGUUGGAAUUACAACCUCGAAUCUCGAAGUCAGUGAUAAGUUGAAAAUUCAUUACCUUGGUAAAUUAUCACCUUCAAAUUCUCUAUAUGCAUAUUUAUUUUGUAGCAUAGUUUAUUCCUAACAAAUUUGGAUUAUUUGGAAUAGUCAUACUUCUUAGGUUAGGUGGCUUUAUAUUCUCAUGAGGUACACAUUCAAUAGAUGUAAUGAUGUUUUUAUUUUUCAAGUUAUGUAACCUUAUUAUAUAGUUUUUUUCCCUUUUGAUUUCUUCUUGAAUUGAAACUGAUAAUAUUAAGAAAUGAUGGAUGUGUGCAUAGAAGGCGAUGACAUAUGUCAACUGUUGUGAUAUAUGCAUUGCUGCCAUUAUCUUAGUUCCAAUAUCAAUUAUCAGAAGUUAUUUAUUUUGUUUAUCAUGUCACAUGACAGGUAUUUCCUGUUGCUCAAAAGGAAUUUUGUGGAUUCAAUCAUUUUACAAGUAUGAACUCUCUCCCUUCUCUGGUCUUGAACUUGUUUGAGCGGGCUUGAAUACCCACUUUUCCUUUAUUCCUCGUAUCUCUUCCUUUAUUUUGGGUGCAAAAUAUACUAAACUGACGUGUUCAUGUUGUGCAGCAUUUGUGUGCUAUAGAAUUAUUUUAUAAUCUGAGGUUCUACACAAAAUUAUAAGCUAUGAGGUUUGGUACAUCUCUCACUCUUCAUUCUCAAACAUAGGAAAUUCACACAAAGGUUCAAGUUAUUGACAUCUAUCUAGUCUCUUUUUAAUCCACACAAAGGUAAGCUCAAAUAUGCCUAUUUUGUCAAAUAACUUAUAAAAAUUAGUUUUGAUAAUAAUGUCUUUCUUGUAUUUGAUAACAUACCUUAAUUAAGAUAGUAAUGUGUUUACAAAUUAGUCUCAUAUGAUAUUUAGAUUUUGUUGGGUUGUUUAGUGUCAUGUUAUUUUGUAUUUGAAUUAUAUCUCUCAAUGCUACUACAUAUAUAGACCCUUAGUAAGUUGAUUAAUAUGUUUGAAUUAUAUCUCGUGAUUUUAGGCUUUACAAAAUGCUGCUUAUAAAGCUGAUUGGUAUGUUCUCUAUAUAGUGUGCAAUAUGUCACAAUCUACGAAAGUUGUUCAUGAGGUAAUUUUCCCCCGCUCCUAAGUAUUGUUGUCUCUUUUUAUGUAAACCUUUAUGUCACAAUCUAUUUAAAUUAGUUCACUUUUAAUGAACUUUUUCCUAACAGUGUUGGAAGAAAUUCACAUGUUUAUAUAACUGGUUAUUGAAAGAGUCUGCAACUCUGCAUCAAUAUACUUUGUUGGAACUGAAGUUUUACAUUGAGAAAAGUAUUUACCGACUAGACGUUCACAUUUGAUCAUAUUCAAUUUUAGAGCCAAAAGCAACAAAUAGUUAUGAGUGCGGCUAUUAUGUCAUGAUACACAUGUUGAACAUUGUAUCUACUGGUGUUGUUGGUUCAUGGACCCAAGUAAGUAAUAUAAUUUAUGUAUCAAGCUGUAUCAAUUGAUUAAUACUAUUGUUUAUCUAAUUGGUGCAAGAGAAAACAAGCUAUAGUACAUGACGAAAUUUAGAGACAGAUCUAAGUUUAAGUUUUUUUUUAUUCUUUUUGUCCAGGUACGGUUACAAUUUUAAUGAUAUGCAAUUGUCCCAACACAUUAUAUGAAGUUUUUUCAAGACUUAGAAUAAUUCAUUAUUGUGUUGGUUCUCUCUGUGUUAGAAUUGUAAUUAGUUUGUAGUUAGUUACUUAUUUCUUCAUGAGUGAUAUUACCCCUUAAAUUAGUUUGUAAAUUUGUUCUUAUGUAAUUUAAAUUAGGGAAAAUAAAUUACUCUCAUUUGGUUGGCAAAUGCUGAGCUACCGUAUUUUUUAUUAUUUUUUUGUAAAGAAUUGUUUGCCACGAUUUAAUUGUGGCUAUUUUUUUUUAAUUUACAAUAACACUUCUUAGGUCGGUUAAACCUUUAACUGACU
Molecule: long non-coding RNA, 3212 nt
Filed under: Trifolium pratense (red clover)
Lineage: Eukaryota; Viridiplantae; Streptophyta; Magnoliopsida; Fabales; Fabaceae
Description: long non-coding RNA (TPRA_LNC009995)
Source: RNAcentral